Long non-coding RNA from Mus musculus (house mouse), 823 nucleotides. RefSeq annotates it as predicted gene, 31295. The record is from RefSeq and is a predicted model, not a curated record. The transcript has 3 exons. Lineage: Eukaryota; Metazoa; Chordata; Mammalia; Rodentia; Muridae.
AUGACCUUGGCGACGGCAGCUUGGGAAUUAGGUUAAUUUGCACCUGGGGGGUAUUAGCCAAUCUGUAAUUGUUCCUAUGUUCUUCCUUCCUAAUUAACUGUAAAUGCCUGCAACGGGAGCAUGGCUUUCUGCGUCCUUCGUCUCCUCCGGUGCUGCAGCAGUGUAGACAGCUUCCAGGUCAGUCUUUGGAGCACCGUGUUUCUGUGCUAGGAACAGCAGACGCGUCCUCACUAACCGUUGUAUGGGUCACACUCUGGAGACAGUUUCCCGGGGAGGCACAAGGCAGCCUGAAACCACAGCGCUGGCUCUCGGCAGACAAGGUGAAAUGAAGACAGCUCAGAGCCGGAGACCUUUGAAUGUCUCCUCAUCUGAGGAAGCCUUGUACUGGGAUUCAGGCAAACAGAAUUGGAAGCCAGAGGACAGAAUACCAAUUUGUCCCUGUGGGAGGACGGAUCUUUGAGCGGAGGAGAGCAGUUCCUGAGGAGGAGCGCUGGCUUUAAGACUUGCAUCAGCUUCGGGUGGAGUUCCUACCCCUCUCUUCCCCAUGAGCUAACCAGAGCUCGCACCUUGAACUGCUCCAGGCAGAUGUGAACACUUACUCUGUCCUGACAUUCCACGCACCUUCCCCAGAGACCAAAUGCAACUAACUCCAAAUCUUCGAGCUGAAGAAAUCUCUUUUCAUCCAGGUGUGCUGCCACACUCCUGUCAUCCCAGCACUUGGGAGGCAGAGGCAGGCAGCUGUCUGAGUUAAGGCCACCUUUGUCUACAGAGGGACUUUUAGGACAGUCAGGGCUACACAGAGAAACCUUGUCUUGAAAAUCAA